RNAcentral lists this ribosomal RNA (305 nucleotides) under uncultured bacterium. RNAcentral describes it as "bacterial SSU rRNA". It matches the Rfam family "Bacterial small subunit ribosomal RNA", at positions 334 to 635 of the family's 1533-position model. The record is from RNAcentral.
UUCUGCCUACGGGAGGCAGCAGUGAGGAAUAUUGGUCAAUGGCCGAGAGGCUGAACCAGCCAAGUCGCGUGAGGGAAGACGGCCCUACGGGUUGUAAACCUCUUUAGGCGGGGAGCAAUGCCGGGCACGCGUGCCCGGAGGGAGAGUACCCGCAGAAUAAGCAUCGGCUAACUCCGUGCCAGCAGCCGCGGUAAUACGGAGGAUGCGAGCGUUAUCCGGAUUUAUUGGGUUUAAAGGGUGCGUAGGCGGAUUUUUAAGUCAGCGGUAAAAUGUCCGGGCUCAACCCGGGCCGGCCGUUGAAACUG